AGAAAUUCAGUGAAGAGAAGAAGUAGAAACAGUGUAAGCGUUUCCAGAGAACUGUCGGUGCUGAGAGACAGUAACCUUCCUGCUUUGAAGAUCAUCUCUGAGAAGGAAAGUCGAAAGAAGUGUCGAAUAGGCUUUCACGGGCGUUUCCCGUUACAGAAACCGCGUAUGCUGGUGCGUUGUAUUCGUGCUUGUUUCAAGGAGGAAACAGGGUGGUUGCGGAAUAAUUUUAUCCGUCCCUAGU
This 241-nucleotide non-coding RNA is filed under the name Blautia sp. Its description in RNAcentral is "T-box sequence". It matches the Rfam family "T-box leader". From Rfam's summary of the family: Uncharged tRNA acts as the effector for transcription antitermination of genes in the T-box leader family. T-boxes are found upstream of many aminoacyl-tRNA synthetase genes and some amino acid biosynthetic genes usually in Gram-positive bacteria. The anticodon of a specific tRNA base pairs to a specifier sequence within the T-box motif, and the NCCA acceptor tail of the tRNA base pairs to a conserved bulge in the T-box antiterminator hairpin. Lineage: Bacteria; Bacillati; Bacillota; Clostridia; Lachnospirales; Lachnospiraceae. The record is from RNAcentral.